CUACGGGCGGCACCAGUGGGGAAUAUUGCACAAUGGAGGAAACUCUGCUGCAGCAACGCCGCGUGGAGGCUGACACUUUUCGGAGCGUAAACUCCUUUUAUAUAGGAAGAAGAUGACGGUACUAUAUGAAUAAGCGCCGGCUAACUCCGUGCCAGCAGCCGCGGUAAUACGGAGGGCGCAAGCGUUACUCGGAAUCACUGGGCGUAAAGAGCGUGUAGGCGGAUUAAAAAGUCAGAAGUGAAAUCCUAUAGCUUAACUAUAGAACUGCUUCUGAAACUCUUAAUCUAGAAUAUGGGAGAGGUAGAUGGAAUUUCUGGUGUAGGGGUAAAAUCCGUAGAGAUCAGAAGGAAUACCGAUUGCGAAGGCGAUCUAAUAGAACAAUAUUGACGCUGAGACGCGAAAGCGUGGGGAGAAAACAGGAUUAGAUACCCUAGUAGUC
This 439-nucleotide ribosomal RNA is filed under the name uncultured bacterium. RNAcentral describes it as "partial 16S ribosomal RNA". It matches the Rfam family "Bacterial small subunit ribosomal RNA", at positions 339 to 795 of the family's 1533-position model. The record is from RNAcentral.